ACGAACGCUGGCGGCGUGCUUAACACAUGCAAGUCGAACGGAAAGGCCUGCUUUCCCUUGUGGAUUGCGGGUACUCGAGUGGCGAACGGGUGAGUAACACGUGAGUGAUCUGCCCCCAACUUGGGUAUAAGCCUGGGAAACUGGGUCUAAUUCCCGAUAGGACUGCAGGGUGGUGCCUGUGGUGGAAAACGAUUUUCUAGUGGUUGGGGAUGAGCUCGCGGCCUAUCAGCUUGUUGGUGGGGUAAUGGCCUACCAAGGCGGCGACGGGUAGCCGGCCUGAGAGGGUGGACGGCCACAUUGGGACUGAGAUACGGCCCAGACUCCUACGGGAGGCAGCAGUGGGGAAUAUUGCACAAUGGGCGGAAGCCUGAUGCAGCGACGCCGCGUGGGGGAUGACGGCCUUCGGGUUGGAAACUCCUUUCGACCGCGAGGAAGCCACCUGGUUGGAAGGGUGGUGACGGUAGUGGUAGAAGAAGCACCGGCGAACUACGU
This 492-nucleotide ribosomal RNA is filed under the name uncultured bacterium. RNAcentral describes it as "partial 16S ribosomal RNA". It matches the Rfam family "Bacterial small subunit ribosomal RNA", at positions 29 to 506 of the family's 1533-position model. The record is from RNAcentral.